Molecule: long non-coding RNA, 1217 nt
Filed under: Mytilus galloprovincialis (Mediterranean mussel)
Lineage: Eukaryota; Metazoa; Mollusca; Bivalvia; Mytilida; Mytilidae
Source: RNAcentral
AUACCAUUUGUGACACCAAUUUAAUUUAUUUCCAAAUCUUAAAAUCAUAUAUCACCACAGUUGUCCAGUUCUUUAGCGUCUCUUAUUAUAAUUACAGAACGGGCUGUGGAGUUAUCCAGGUGUGUUGAUAAGUCGUUAUCCUAAGGCUAUUUUUUUCUUAUUUUUUCUGUAGACUUAGAUUUCAUUUUUUAUUACCAUGCAUUGUCAAGCUUGGUAACUCAUAAUUAUUUGUCAGUAACUAAAUGUACGAUGCUGUCCCAUACUGAACCUUCUGACCUUGUUUGUUUACAUUUAAAUUUCAAUGGCGUCAAAAUCACGUGAUGACAAUUCGUUCUACCCAAUCAAAUUGCUCUACUGUCAAUUAGGGGAUUUUUCAGUCUACGGCAAUUACGUUAUUUCUUUGUGGGAUAUUGCUUCAAAAUAGUUUGCAAUUAUUUUGGGUUUUAUACAACAGGAAAACUAUUUUUUUGCCAUCCCUUUUAACAUCAAUGGAAUUCUGUAUGAAUAUUUACCUACAGUCAUGAUGGUCAGAAUAUCGAUCUUUUUAUAAUGAAUAAAAAGAAAAUUGUAUGAAAACUAAAUGUAAAUUGUUUUUUAUUAACCUACUCUAUAUUCCUGUACAAAAUUAUGGCAUGGGCAUCGAUUUUUCAUAUAGUUUUCCUUUCAUUUUGGUUGGGCUUUUUUCGCGGGAAAAUCGCAAAAGACGUAAGGAGCAUGUCAUUUUAAAAUUCCUAAAAAUACGAUUUGCUUGACCUGUAUUGCCUGCCACAAGAUUGAUGACGCUGAAUGGAAUGUACACAAAGCAAUGGAGGCCGGAAGUGGGAUUUUGUGAAGUUCUAGAAUGUUUUUAGACAUUCGGAAGUCGGGAUUGAAACGGGCAUUAGAAAAUUGGCAUUUCUUUUAGCAAUAAUUGAGAACAACAAUGAAAACUUACCUUCAGAAAUGUUUUUUUUUAUUCGAAAGUGCAGAAAAAACGUAUUCUCCUCUGUUUUUCUACGCCGGAAGUAGCGUAGUGACGUCAGUGCGGAGUUUCCCCGUGUGUUAAGUUCAAACACAAAUACCUAACGAACUGACAAGAUGAACGAUUUUAGACUACGGUAGGAUAUAUGAUUAUCGGCGAUAUGAAUUUCAUAUAUGAAUUUUGAAAUAUUCUAAUUUAUCUUGACAACUCCAUAAUUCCAUAAAUUAACAAUGAAAAACAAAGUGUAUCGAAAACA